RNAcentral lists this ribosomal RNA (563 nucleotides) under uncultured bacterium. Its description in RNAcentral is "bacterial SSU rRNA". It matches the Rfam family "Bacterial small subunit ribosomal RNA", at positions 338 to 916 of the family's 1533-position model. The record is from RNAcentral.
CCUACGGGAGGCAGCAGCAAGGGAUCGUGCACAAUGGGCGAAAGCCUGAUGCCGCGACGCCGCGUGAGGGAUGACGGCUCUCGAGUUGUAGACCUCUUUUCUCAGGGAUGAGAGAGGACCUAACCUGAGGAAUAAGUCACGGCUAACUACGUGCCAGCAGCCGCGGUAAUACGUAGGUGGCAAGCGUUGUCCGGAAUUACUGGGCGUAAAGGGUCCGUAGGCGGUUCGGUUAGUCUUCUGUGAAAUCUCCAGGCUCAACUUGGAGCUGUCGGAGGAAACUGCCGAACUAGAGACUGUCAGAGGCAGGUGGAAUUCCCGGUGUAGUGGUGAAAUACGUAGAUAUCGGGAGGAACACCAGUGGCGAAAGCGGCCUGCUGGGGUAGUUCUGACGCUAAGGGACUAAAGCGUGGGGAGCGAACCGGAUUAGAUACCCGGGUAGUCCACGCCCUAAACGAUGAAUGCUAGGUCUUCGGGGUGUUAAUUCCCUGGGGGCCGAAGGUAACCCAUUAAGCAUUUCGCCUGGGGACUACGGCCGCAAGGCUAAAACUCAAAGGAAUUGACGG